GUUUUUAUAGUUGAAGUACAACAACAGUUUUUCAGGCUGUAAGUCUGAGUUAAACUCUCAGUGGGAACA
This 69-nucleotide transfer RNA is filed under the name Telmatobufo australis. Its description in RNAcentral is "tRNA-Glu". It matches the Rfam family "tRNA". From Rfam's summary of the family: Transfer RNA (tRNA) molecules are approximately 80 nucleotides in length. Their secondary structure includes four short double-helical elements and three loops (D, anti-codon, and T loops). Lineage: Eukaryota; Metazoa; Chordata; Amphibia; Anura; Calyptocephalellidae. The record is from RNAcentral.